GCCGCUUUCCGACUCCGCCUUGGUCCCUCCAGCCGCUCACUGCUACUUCCAGAGACUGCAGCUUCCACAGCCAUCACUGAACCAUUGACUAAAGGCCUUGACGUUGGUGCACAUGACGUUUUCCCAGAAGACCUCCCUAAUGAACAAAUCCAGUCCUUUGUAAUCCAGUGACUAAAGGCCUUGACGUUGGUGCACAUGACGUUUUCCCAGAAGACCUCCCUAAUGAACAAAUCCAGUCCUUUGUAAUCCAG
Molecule: long non-coding RNA, 251 nt
Organism: Pseudophryne corroboree (corroboree frog)
Lineage: Eukaryota; Metazoa; Chordata; Amphibia; Anura; Myobatrachidae
Exons: 3
Source: RefSeq, a predicted model, not a curated record